ACGGCCCCAUCACAUUGAAACACUAGCUCCCGUACGAUCAAUAAAGUUAAGCAAUGUUGAUCCUGGUCAGUACUUAGAUGGGUGAUUGCUUGGAAAUGUCAAGUGCUGU
Molecule: non-coding RNA, 109 nt
Organism: Acanthosepion pharaonis
Lineage: Eukaryota; Metazoa; Mollusca; Cephalopoda; Sepiida; Sepiidae
Source: the annotation of a GenBank genome assembly